GGGAUAAUGAGACCACACCCUUUCCUGUCUCUCCAGCCUCCAAGAGGUGAACGGUCCUCCUUCGCCAUGUGCUCCCACCAUGAUGGACUCUGCCACCAUUGGCCCAAAGCCACAGGACCAGGUGACCAUGGACUAAACUCUGAAACUGUGAUCCAAGAAACCUUUCCUCUUUAAAAGCUAAUCAUCUUGGGCAUUUUGUCACAGUAACACAAGGCUGACUAAUGCUUCCUAGGGAACUUUUAAAACUGUGAUGCCCAGGGCAAGCUGUUGGGGGCAGCCUGGGCAGCUGUCAUUUUAAAUGCUCCCCCAGGGGCUCUACUGUGCACCCAGGGGUGGGGCCCACUGGUCCAGGGGCAGAUGAAGGCAUGGGCUCAGUGGUGGCAGGAGAGGCACGGAGAGACAGCUGGGACCCAGGGCUGCGCGAGGAGGAGGAUUCGAGUGUGCUGUGUGGAUUCUGCUGGGACAACUGGGUUGCAAUGAAGGGACAUGGGAGGAGUCAGGGGAAGGCACUGAGGAGCCUGUGGCCUCCAGAGCAGGGCCCGGUGUGGCUGGGGUCUGAAGUGGGGCUAGCCGCGCCCUCUCUGUGGUUCUAUGGUGACCGUGACCCGAGCCCACUGCAACCCUGGGCGCACACACAGAGACCCACGCACCUGUGACCUCUCCAGACACCGUUUAUUGUCUUGGUGUCCCCUCAGCUUUCUUUCUGGUACCCAGUGGGUGUCUUCAGGACCGUCUCCGGUGAGGUCAGCCCAGGGAGGGGCCCUUGGUCCCGAGGAGGGGAGGGCAGAGGCCCAGAGCUUCCUGCCUCAGCCGUCCCUGGCUGGGCUGGCCUCUGUCACCAUUAAGUGAUGAUCGUGGCAUGGUCCUGCCGUAGGAAGCACUGUGUCACCUGGGAACACAGGACGGCCCCUCAUCUCUGCCUGGGAGAAGCGCGUGGAGACGCGGUGGGGCAUGAGGAGUCCUGGUUCCUGGGCGGUUUCUGGGCUGACGUCACCCAGACACAGCGCUUGGGAAGGAGCCAGAGCUCCCGCGAAUGGCGCUCUUCCAGGAUGGGGUUCCCUUGACACGGCCUCUCCAGGGUCCUUUCUAGAUCCCGCUCUCUCUGGGCGGGUGGUGCUCGUGGCUGCUCCUCGAGGCCCUUCCCCUGUGAUGUCACUGUGAGCUGAGUGCCAGGGGGCGCUGAGAGUCCCCGAGGUGUCCCUGUGCACCGUGGCCCUGCUGGGUGCUCCUGUGAGCAGUGCCUGCCUCAGACAGCGUGAGUGACAGGUCUGGUAGGGACUGAGAUUGCAGACGACCAGGUGCUCUGCCGGGGACAGUCCCGCGUGGUCACCGCCUUUCCCUCUGAGCUCACCACGGCUGGUGCUGGUUGCGGAUGGCGCUCACCCUUUAGGGUGGUUUCCUUAUGGAAGGUUCUAACCUCAGAUGGCCUUAGCAUAGCUGCCACUGUCACUAGACUAGUGGUGAGCGGGGAGGCGGUCCCCAGGCCUUGGUGCUCACUGUGGAAGGAUUGGCUCUUCAGCGGGCGGGGAGGGCGUCUGCUGCCCACCUGGGUGUGGAGCCUCUGCUCAAUGGCACCGGGUCGGGGUGCCCCUGGCUGAGGCUCACUGUACUGGAUCUGAUUCCCACGGGUGCUCUUGACCCCGCCGUCCCUGCACCCGUGGACCCGGCCACAGCUCUUCUUACCAACAAUAGUCCUCGGGGUAGCUGCCGUCCCUGAUGCCCAACUCUCAGUAAAGAUGGAGUUCAGCCGCCCUGCCCUGCGUCACAGGACCUGCCUGCUGAUGGCUGCUGCUACCUAGGGGACGACUGGUCAGGUGUCACCUCCCUGGGUGAAGUCUGGGAGUGCUGGGCCCCGUGGGUGGAGAUCUGAGGGGACCUGGGGCUGGGGACCGGCCUCACAGGGGCACGUUCACCCGGGCAGGCUGCUCCGCUGGGGCCACCUGGCUGUUGCUUUCCGACUUGUCCCCCGUCUUGUCCUCCUGCAGGUGGGUGCUGCUGCUGGGGGUGUUCUGCCCGCUGCCGCUCCCGGGCAGGUUCUGGCUGCUGCUGGUCUGGCUGGAGGGCUGGCUGCCCCGGGGGUCCAGCAGCCCGCUGCUCACCUGGUAGGUCAGGAAGCUGCUGCCCGGGCUCAGGAAGCCGACGCUGCCCAGGCUGCUGAGGCUGGUGCCCCCAGGCUGCCCUCACUUUUCCCCUCCAGCCUGCCUGGUGCCGUGGCCGUGGCCGCUCAGCCGGCUGUUCACUGGGCUGGGCGCGUGUGUGGUGCCCGCCUGGGAGUGGGGCCUUUUGCUCAACAGGGCCACCCGGUUGCCAGCUGCCAAUCUCACGUCGCUGUCCUCGGUGUCCCCGGUGUACCCGCUGCUCAGCAGGCUGACGUUACUGCACUCGUCCUGCUGGGGCCGGG
RNAcentral lists this long non-coding RNA (2401 nucleotides) under Marmota monax (woodchuck). Lineage: Eukaryota; Metazoa; Chordata; Mammalia; Rodentia; Sciuridae. The record is from RNAcentral.